AUAAUAAUUUGUUGAAUUCCAGCCUCCGGUACACAUGCAAAGAUGGUUACAAAAGGAAAGCUGGGACAUCCAGCCUCAUUGUGUGUGUAAUGGACGAAGUCACCAAAACACUCCAUUGGACAGAGCCAAAUCUAUGUUGUAUUAGGGACCCCGCUCUACCUCCUUUAACUUCCAGCCCCAAACAGACCACAUCAGCACCUAGGACAGAGGCGACCAAUCUUGUCAGCAGAGAAUCAAAGACUUUUACACCAUCUAAACCACCAGUAACCAGAGUAACUGCAGAGGUUACCACAGUCCCAGUCAUGGCCUCCACACCAUCCUAUGAAAGGGAGACCACCUCACCACUAGCAGGCUCCGUCUCACAGCUCAGGACUGACAAGCCUUCACGGGAAACACUUGCAACAGCAACAACUGAGAUCAGGUCAUCGAAAGCGCCUGGUUGCGUGACCAUGGAAGACAUAACACAAUGGCACACUACAGCCACCCAGGACACACACACGUCCCAGCUCUGGACGGAUAAGCCAUUGCUGAAAACAGUUACAACAGAAGGAGAUUGGUCAACAGCAGGACCAGCCAGUGUGACCACAGGAGACUCAACACAGCUUCUCAC
This 610-nucleotide long non-coding RNA is filed under the name Chelonoidis abingdonii (Abingdon island giant tortoise). RNAcentral describes it as "lncRNA (ENSCABG00000015381.1)". The record is from RNAcentral. Lineage: Eukaryota; Metazoa; Chordata; Testudines; Testudinidae.